UACGUAGGGGGCAAGCGUUGUCCGGAAUUAUUGGGCGUAAAGAGCGUGUAGGCGGUCCGGUAAGUCGGCUGUGAAAGUCCAGGGCUCAACCCUGGGAUGCCGGUCGAUACUGCCGGACUAGAGUUCGGAAGAGGCGAGUGGAAUUCCCGGUGUAGCGGUGAAAUGUGUAGAUAUCGGAAGGAACGCCAGCAGCGAAAGCGGCACACUGGGCCUUUUCUGACGCUGAGGCACGAAAGCCAGGGGAGCGAACGGG
RNAcentral lists this ribosomal RNA (253 nucleotides) under uncultured bacterium. Its description in RNAcentral is "partial 16S ribosomal RNA". It matches the Rfam family "Bacterial small subunit ribosomal RNA", at positions 524 to 776 of the family's 1533-position model. The record is from RNAcentral.